Molecule: long non-coding RNA, 2066 nt
Organism: Paramormyrops kingsleyae
Lineage: Eukaryota; Metazoa; Chordata; Actinopteri; Osteoglossiformes; Mormyridae
Source: RefSeq, a predicted model, not a curated record
UACAAGUCAGGUUUCCGGUCCAGAUUGGGUAGCAGCACGAGCUACAGCCAAGUGCAGCCUUUUGAUUCCAUUUUUCUGUUUAAUAUUUUUAUCGCUGUUGUUAUUCCGCACAACCACUGUUAUUGCCACGGACAUGACGAGGGGUAGUUAAGGGUGCAGUGCCUCUAACGACAGCUGUGGCGGACUGUUGCGUGGUUGGGUAUGAUUUGGCUGCACUGAUGCAUGCACAAAAUUAUUCAGAUGCAGGCCAUAGUUUGGCACUGCAAAACCUAACGUUCAACUAUUUAUUUGUUUCAGGCAUGCUGUGAGCACUCUAUGGGACGUCUCGUCCCCCUGGCAGGCAGCAGGACAGCUGUGGUAGAAAGGCGCUCUAUUGGCAUCAGAGACUGCAGCUUAAUUUCAAAUUGGGAGAAAUGGGCAAACGUAAAGAUCUGAGUAACUUUGACAAGGGACGAAUCGUCAUGGCCAGACGACUGGGUCGGAGCAUCUCUGAAACGGCACGGCUUGUGGGCUGUUCCCGGUCGGCGGUGGUGAAUACCUACCAGCAAUGGUUAAAGGAGGGAAGGACCACGAACCGGCGACAGGGUGUGGGGCGGCCACGCCUCAUCGACGCACAAGGGCAGCGGCGGCUGUCCCGUCUGGUACGGAGCGACAGAAAGGCUACUGUGGCACAACUGACGGAAAAAUUUAAUUCUGCACACGAAACGACUGUAUCGGAACAUACAGUGCAUCGCACCCUGUUGCGUAUGGGGCUGCGCUGCCGCAGUCCGGUUAGAGUUCCAAGGAAAAUUAGCAUAAAGUCAGAAAGUAGACUGGACCAAAAAUUGUACAUAAGCUCCUUUCCUACCCUCUCUGAUCAGACUGAAAAUAAAUAUGGUUAGAUUGAAAGGUUGGCUGAGGAGCAUCACAUGUUUAUAUGAUUCUUCGCUAUGGGAUUAAAAAGCCUUUCAAGAGGCUGCAAACUAACAUGAAUAUAGCACCAUAUGUCUAUAUGCAGUACACCUGUCUAUGUCCUUUUGUCAGUGUUCGUUUUUUUGUUUAAUUUUUAUAUUUGUUUUUAUUCGAGAUCCAGUUUAGUUUAAGUUAGGUUUUGGUGUGGUUUUAUUAGUCUUUAAUUUAAAGAUGUAUAUCCGUUUUGUUUUUAUAUAUUUUAGUUUAAGUUUUAGCAAUUUUAUUUCUAGCGAUAGAUGGAAAACUAUAGGACUCCGCUAGCUACUAAAAAAUGUCAUGUUGUGGCGCCUGUAGCUGUUUUUGUCGUUCAAGUGCAUUGCAUGAACGAGGCCCAAAGACGACUAUUUACUUUAAAUAGUAUUUUUAAACGGUAAUGGAAGUUUUUGAUGUUUGGUUUUAUUUCAGUUAGUUUCUGAAGCUAUACAUGUAGUUUUCCUUGUAGUUGUUGUUUUUCCUCCUAUUUUCCUGUUAUUUAAGAAUACGGAAAUGUUUUCGCUAACGAUAACUCUGCCAUGCAUACUGUAAAUACAUCGUGCACAGUUGGUUUUAGUGAAUUUCUUAUUUUUAAUAUAACUUCCAUACCACCCAUCAUAAAUGUCACUUAAGAGCAGGUUUGCUGUACCGCACUGCCCAAGGCCUGUUGUCAGAUAUGAACUGUGGCUGUGUCCGCAGGUGGCAUUAAGCAGGUACCGUGCGAUCAUCUGAUUGGGGGCCGGCCCUCUGUCACAGUCAGGUGACAUGGAGGCGGGGGAAGCCAAAGGCAGACUGAAACUGUGAUCCAUUUUCGGUUUACAAUCAGCGGGCAACAGGUGGCGACUCGAGGCAGGAAAGGAGGACAAACAGCGUCCUCAGAUAUACGUAACUACUUCCAACAUGCCAGAAUUUUGAGUUACUUUUAAAGAACAUCAGCUGUGUAAUGCCUUUUAAUGUAAGCAUCACAUUGUCAAAAAAUAGGAAUACUAAAAUAUUACUGAAAAGUUUAAUCUCAAUGUCACAAUAUAUACCUUGUAAUUGGUGUAAUUGUUAUUUGCUUCAAGCAUCUCAAUGCCUCUCAACAUAUCUGUAUGAGGUAGAUCUGUAAUUGUGGUCAAAUAAAAAUCACUACAGAAAACUAA